Molecule: ribosomal RNA, 256 nt
Filed under: uncultured bacterium
Lineage: Bacteria
Description: partial 16S ribosomal RNA
Rfam family: Archaeal small subunit ribosomal RNA
Source: RNAcentral
UACCAGCACCCCGAGUGGUCGGGACGUUUUAUUGGGCCUAAAGCAUCCGUAGCCGGUUCUACGAGUCUUCCGUUAAAUCCAACUGCUUAACAGGUGGGCUGCGGAAGAUACUAUAGAGCUAGGAGGCGGGAGAGGCAAGCGGUACUCGAUGGGUAGGGGUAAAAUCCGUUGAUCCAUUGAAGACCACCAGUGGCGAAGGCGGCGUUGCCAGAACGCGCUCGACGGUGAGGGAUGAAAGCUGGGGGGAGCAAACCGG